RNAcentral lists this ribosomal RNA (256 nucleotides) under uncultured bacterium. RNAcentral's name for it is "partial 16S ribosomal RNA". It matches the Rfam family "Bacterial small subunit ribosomal RNA", at positions 524 to 777 of the family's 1533-position model. The record is from RNAcentral.
UACGAAGGGGGCUAGCGUUGUUCGGAAUUACUGGGCGUAAAGCGCACGUAGGCGGAUAUUUAAGUUAGGGGGUGAAAUCCCCAGGGCUCAACCCUGGAACUGCCUUUAAUACUGGGUAUCUCGAGUCCGAGAGAGGUGAGUGGAAUUCCGAGUGUAGAGGUGAAAUUCGUAGAUAUUCGCAAGAACACCAGUGGCGAAGGCGGCUCACUGGCCCGUUACUGACGCUGAGGCACGAAAGCGUGGGGAGCAAACAGGG